RNAcentral lists this long non-coding RNA (694 nucleotides) under Capsella rubella. Its description in RNAcentral is "long non-coding RNA (CRUB_LNC002721)". The record is from RNAcentral. Lineage: Eukaryota; Viridiplantae; Streptophyta; Magnoliopsida; Brassicales; Brassicaceae.
ACUCAUCACCGUUAAACGGUUAAUUAACACCGUUUCAGAAGAAUAAUGCCGGCGUCUUAGGAGGAGCGAAAUGAAUACGUUGAUUUCGUUCUCACCAUAGGAGGUAAACACAGAGACCGAUCAACAUUAGUAUAAGAGAAACAUUCUUGUUCCUCGAAGAAGUUUGUAACCGAUUAAGACAUCUCAUAAACUGGUUAGGAGGAUGAAAGUUGGCUCUAGAGGUGAAGUAUCUCUAAACCGCUGAACUAAAUUCCACUCAAAAAUCAAAUGGUCUCUUGAUACAUUAUGCAUAAUGCAUAUGAUACAGUUGGCAAGAACAUUAUGACCCCAAGUCCUCAAUAUCUCGAUUGUGUGUAGUGUAUUCUAAGUAGUUACCAAAAAUAAAGGCAUGCUUGGGAAUGCCACCCGCGAACCACACCGAUUCAGGACAAUGGUUGUUGUGGCAUGAAAGGGUGCAUGAUGAAUCGGCUUCCAAAAAUAUGAGUCGUCAUGCUGGUUUUUAAUUAAGUCCUCAGCAGUUGGUAAUGUGCUCCUAAGCAAGCUUUUUAUAAGAUUCUUGCUUCUAAUAUAUACAUAUUACAUAUAUAUAUAAUUCAUGUUUGACUAGGUUAAAAUUCACAUUUUCAAGUUUUCAAAAUUUAGCAUCUUUUUAAAUUCCUUUAAAAUCUUAACUUUAGAUUUGGAUGAGUUUUUC